RNAcentral lists this long non-coding RNA (3494 nucleotides) under Equus caballus (horse). RNAcentral's name for it is "lncRNA (ENSECAG00000055109.1)". Lineage: Eukaryota; Metazoa; Chordata; Mammalia; Perissodactyla; Equidae. The record is from RNAcentral.
CAGACUGACAGGAGAGCUCCCGCUGGGUGCAAGCACCAGGAGCGGAAUCUUCACUUCGCACACUCCUAAUAUGGUAAGCCCUGCAGACUGUGGGCCUGUGAGCAGGAGGGGGACCAGGCGGAGCUCCACGCCUCCGUGAGGUUAACCCCUUGGCAGAAGGCAGAAUGGAAGAGAGACUGACCACUGGUGGCUGCAGAUGCUCUGGUUACUAACAGCCACAAGUCAAGUCGACGUGAUCUGGAAGCCAGGAUCAGGUUGUCCUUCCAAACAGCAGUGUCUGCCGACAGUAAACUUCGGAUCAAAGCAGCAGGGCAAAAUGAACUGCCUCAGCCCCAUGGGUCACCGAAAUGAAACAGGAAAAGACAAAUAAAGGAAAAAGAAACAGCCUUCUCAGGCGAGUGGCAAAGGCAGCAGGACAGUGGAGGGACUGUCACGUGCAUGCCACGCCCUCCCCACAGGCUGUGUGUCGGCUCCGUCACAGCAGCUGCUGCCAGGAGCAUAGAGGAAAAUAGUGUCCAUGCUGGCUUUUUAUAACAGACCUGAGUAGUGAAUAGAGACUGCAAAGAAUGGGGCCAGGGCCACCAAAUAUUCUUCCCGGCCUUGGAGACCCCACCAUGCCAGGGCCUGGGCCGUUCAGUGCUUCACUGUUUACCAAGAUCCAGAGGAUGUGGCCCCUGCAGGGACAAUGAGGAAGAGCCAGUGAUUAGGCAAGUAAUGCCCCUAAGAACUUGCUAAAGCAUUGGGGUGAAAUACUAAGAGCCUCCUCUUCUUUUUUUUUUUUUUGCUGAGAAGAUUAGCCCUGAGCUAGCAUCUGUGCCAGUCUUCCUGCAUUUUAUAUUACAAAAGAGGGAGUUGACUGGGAAGAGGCUGCAGCCAGGACACCCGGUCGGAUCAAGUCUUCACAGACCAGCUGCUACAAUAGAUUAAAUUAAAAGCUGGGAUUGAAUUACGUCACUUUAGCACUUUGAUCAGGGAGACCAUUUACCAAGUGUGACGUUGAUCAAUAUUUGGCUGUUACAACUGAAGGAAGAAAAGGAGAAUCGAUCACUGUCGAAGCCACUGUGGGUGCGCGUACAGACAGAGCAACUCAUGAGCAGAAAGAAAAGAACUCCAGAUGGAGAGCUUCACGUUGUCGGCAGAUUUAGAAAAAGCCCCUGGAAUCCGCACGGGUGGUACAGCCGGGUGCAGACUGACAAGCGAGGAAUCUUCCAUCUCAUCGCCUCAAUUUCAGGCUUCAGAGAUGCCCGGCUCUGCUGUUCAAAGAGUUUUAUUAAAAAUUUGUGAGGAGGGAAAAGAAGUCUGUGCAGGCCUGUCUGGUGCCAUUACGUCUGACACAGCACACGGAGCCGCGGACCGCCCGGGACAGCCACCGCAGGGGGGUGCACAGCAGAGGCCAUGGGAGCCCCCGGGGAAUGGUCCCAGAUGCUCUAGUCUGGUGGGGUCCCUCCAGAAUCGUGAGUCUCCAUAUGUGACCCAGUGUAUACUUCCAGUCCUUAGACCACCAGCAUUCCAGUCAGAAGACAAACACCCACGGAUCCCAACGUUGAACUUGUCCCCUCGGUAUAACUUCUGCUACUGCUCCUCUCAUGAGCAAAACUCCCUUCUCUGAUCAUUUUCUCUGUAAACCUAGAUCGAGCGACACACUGCCAGCAGCUCCUCUGCAGCUAUGAAGUGUGGCAUGAAUCCAGCCUUCCCUGAAGCGGGGCGCUGCCACGCGGAUUGCAAUCUAGACAACGUCUGGAUCCCCCACAUUCUGGGCACAGACCUCACAAGACCCUUAAAGGCAGGGAUUCGCCUGACGGGCAGCCUGGCUGGUGUGCUCCAUAAGAAGGAGGGCUGGGUCCCCGGAAGGGAGUCAGUGCAGCCAGACAAGCUGCCUUAUCCCAUGCAGAUUUUUCUGGUUGCCAGGAGAGGUCUCCAGCCUGGAGUGGCCCUGCUGAAAGACACCCAGUGGAGCUCCGUGAAGGUUUGGGAUGAAUGAGGACGUGGGAGGGAGCGUACCGCGUAGCAGCAGCACAGAAGGAGCGUAGGUAGGCUGUAAACAGCCCCAGAUGGGCAUCUGGGUUCGGGCUCGGCUCAGCCUUUCUCAACCCGAGAUAAAGCUUGGGAUCAACUGAGAGCCUUUAAAAAAUAUUGAUGCCUGGGUACAACGUCCAGAACAAUUAAAAUAGGAUCAAAUUAGGAUCUCUGCCAUCGCCUAAAAGUCCUAGGACAAUGUGUAAGGUUAGAAAAAGUUUGGGAACAACGUAAGUGUGGAAAAUGCGAGGCUAAUGUGGAGGAUGAGUUUCACUGGUCACCCUGGCCGCCCAAUCACUCUUGGAGAGGUGGGAUGGCCAAAGAGGAAGGUGGAGCUAAGGUGACACAGGAGACGGAGGGCCACCUCCACUGCUCAGGCCCAGUGCUCUGGCCACUGCUCAAGGGCAGACUGAGGCCUGAGUCCAGAGCUGCCCCGGGGUCUUGGGGUCUUUGGAAAUGCGGACCAGUAGCCGGGGUGGAGAAUCUGACUCACUUAUCUAACCCACGGCCCCAAGCAUCUACCUUUGAUCCUUCUUUUUUUUUGAGGAAGAUUAGCCCUGAGAUAACUACUGCCAGUCCUCCUCUUUUUGCUGAGGAAGACUGGCCCUGAGCUAACAUCCGUGCCCAUCUUCCUCUACUUUAUAUGUGGGAAGCCUGACACAGCAUGGCUUUUGCCAAGUGGUGCCAUGUCCGCACCCGGGAUCCGAACCGGCAAACCCCGGGCUGCCGAGAAGCAGAAUGUGCCCACUUAACUGCUGCGCCACCAGGCCAGCCCCUAACUUUGAUCCUUUGUUAGGAUCGCACCAAAAGACACCAAAGACAAAAAGAUUCCUCCUUCCCUCUGUCAGAGCCCUUCCACCUUAUCUGCCUUGUCCCUGCUCAGCCUACUUCCCCUGCUCAGAGGGGAAAGGAGGGCAGCCCUGUUGUCUGGUAUGCUAGGAGGCCGUGUUACACUUGGCAAUGGUCCUGAUUUUUACUUGCAGCAUCACUGCCCCAUCCAGUGGGGUGGGGCAGCACGCUCCCUGUACCGCUGUAGAUGGUGACCCUGAGAAGGCCAAGACCAGACAGGCGUGCCACUGACACAGCAGUGCAAAUGACUGAAUACACACACACACACGCACACGCACAUGCACAGGGCAGUAAGCCACCAGCAGACAAAGAAAGGAAAAUACCAGCGAUAACAAAGCAGGAGAGUGACCCACGUUAACCCAGACAGUGCUCAAACGGCUCCACUAAACUGUGAUUUUCGUUGCUGCUUCUUAGCCCCAGAAAUUAUGCUUUCCUUUGAAGAGCUGAUGUAGCACUCUAAAUGAUACAUUCAGUACGAGAAGUCCGUGUUCUGUUUCCCCGCAGGAUGUAAUCGAGACUGGAUACAUGGCCUGGUGUCUAAUUCUCCAGUUACAUAAUUAGUAACUGCACAUCAGGCAAAAAAAAAAAAAAAAAAAAACCCAGCCCUGAGAGAGCAUCUCAGAGGAGGC